GAUGAACGCUGGCGGCGUGCCUAAUACAUGCAAGUCGAGCGGACGAAUCGAAAGCUUGCUCCUGAUUCGUUAGCGGCGGACGGGUGAGUAACACGUGGGCAACCUGCCCUGAAGACGGGGAUAACACCGAGAAAUCGGUGCUAAUACCGGAUAACAUGAAGAGUCGCAUGACGUAACGGUGAAAGACGGUGCAGGCUGUAGCUACAGGAUGGGCCCGCGGCGCAUUAGCUAGUUGGUGAGGUAACGGCUAACCAAGGCGACGAUGCGUAGCCGACCUGAGAGGGUGAUCGGCCACACUGGGACUGAGACACGGCCCAGACUCCUACGGGAGGCAGCAGUAAGGAAUCUUCCGCAAUGGACGAAAGUCUGACGGAGCAACGCCGCGUGAGCGAAGAAGGCCUUCGGGUCGUAAAGCUCUGUUGUUAGGGAAGAACAAGUAACGCAGUAACUGGCGUUACCUUGACGGUACCUAACGAGAAAGCCACGGCUAACUACGUG
RNAcentral lists this ribosomal RNA (498 nucleotides) under uncultured bacterium. Its description in RNAcentral is "partial 16S ribosomal RNA". It matches the Rfam family "Bacterial small subunit ribosomal RNA", at positions 28 to 507 of the family's 1533-position model. The record is from RNAcentral.